RNAcentral lists this transfer RNA (76 nucleotides) under Rhodospirillaceae bacterium. RNAcentral describes it as "tRNA-Trp". It matches the Rfam family "tRNA". From Rfam's summary of the family: Transfer RNA (tRNA) molecules are approximately 80 nucleotides in length. Their secondary structure includes four short double-helical elements and three loops (D, anti-codon, and T loops). Lineage: Bacteria; Pseudomonadati; Pseudomonadota; Alphaproteobacteria; Rhodospirillales; Rhodospirillaceae. The record is from RNAcentral. RNAcentral also lists the same sequence under 5 other names.
AGGGGUAUAGCUCAGUUGGUAGAGCGGCGGUCUCCAAAACCGCAGGUCGAGGGUUCGAACCCUUCUGCCCCUGCCA